CUCUCCGAGACACAAACCAGGGUUUUACACAACUCCCCCCAUGCACUCGAGCUAUGUCAAUAUACACAACUCCCCCACUCGAGCAUGGGGGAAGUUGUGUGGUGCAACACAGCCCAUUAUGUUCAGUCAAUUGGUUGUAGACCCAGGAAAGGAUGCAUUUGUUAAUUUAGGGGCGACGACGAUUGUGGGACUAGGAAGGGGUAGAGCUUGAGGGCAAGGUGCCUUUAGGGUUGGAGUCUAGACUUCACCUUCAAGGAUGCAAGAGCCAAAGAUUUUAGAGUGUCAACUGGGAGUGCAAAGAGGGGGCGAGUGAUCUAACACAAAGCGACAACAUCGGCUGAGGAGAGCAGUGGAAAGGUAAUGUCUGCGAGAUUCACAGCACAACGGGUAGUCCAUCAGUAAUUAUAAGGUGUUUUCCAGAUUCCUUUAUAAAUUGUUAGCAAAGAUUUAUAGGUCAAUAACAAAUACAUAUUGUAGAUUAUGAUUUCAAAUUUAUCACACUAAUUUGUGAAAGGCAGAAUAAGAGAAUAUUACAAAUGGCCAAAAUAACAUAAAUUUCAAGAUAUUUAUGAUUAUAAAACACUGUACAUAGGUUUGGACAUAAUGUAUAUACAUGUUUUUAUGUAUUAUCUGUUUUACAGUUUUUCCCAGUAAACAUCUGCACCUUAUGACAGCCUCUGACAAUGUUGAAAUUAUGGCUUGCAUUGUUACUGUAUUCAAAGUAUAUUAGCCUUGAUUAGGACUGACGAAGAGCACUUAAGACAUUAAUUAGUUUCUAAACCAAAUUUCAGCAUAUCAUUUUAUAAAGAAUUAAAACUGCAAGUCUCUCUAAAUUGUUAAGGAAUAUUCUUAUCUAAGGAAAUCUUAACACACAGUGCCAAUCAAAAAUACUGGCAUCUUUUCUUGUGUUUCUAUUAAAAAUAAUCAGUCUGACAUUGCUAAUAUAGUAUUAAAAUGGCGAAAAUUACUAUAGGCUGUAUGUAGACCACGGGACGAGUUCCUGAAUCCAUUAUUUAUGAAUCUCGAAAGCUUUUAACCGCUGUUUUGAUUUAUAAUAUACUGAUUAAAGUAAAUCAGUAUAUUACAUAUUACAUUAAAUUAUAAUAUUACUGAUUAAAAGUAACUAACGGGAUGUAAAACAUUGGAGCGCAAACUAGCACAGCACGAGAAAUUGAAAUUGAAAUAAGUUUAUUGAGGUAAAAUACACACAAAGGGAUGAGGUAGCUCAAGCUAUUCUCACCCCGUUCAGUACAUCGUGUUACUACAUACAUAGACACACAUCACAAGCAAUAAACGUAUUACCGAACAUUCUGAGAGAUAAACAUAUACAUUAACUAGCACAGCACGAGGAUAUGGUCGUUAAGCACUGUGACGUCACCAAUGACGCUGUGUUAGGCAAGAAGGUCAGGAGCGGCCGGCGCCGCCUCAGUGUCGGGCUGACAGCCAGCAGACGUAGUUCCUUGGGAGGUGUCCCGCUUCUUACAUCAUUUGCAGCUACACCGGCCAUCAGAAGUCCACACUCGCCUGUUAUGUAAUUCACGGAACCAAUUUCAUCCGAAUUACUUUGGUUAAAACCGGGUAUUUGGCAAGUUAUGCAGAUUUGAAUUUCUUCAGUCUUGAUAUCUGUAGUGUCCAUUGCAGCAGAUAAACAAAUUUUCAGGGUCUGGCUCGACAAUGGCCACGAGUCUUCUUGAGAAAUAACUUUGUGAACGGAGUCACAAAGGUCACACAAGGCACGGAACUAGUUCUGACGUGACGUAGCUGAAAGUCUCGAUAGAGGUGGUUGGACGGUGUUGAACACGGCGCCUGACAACGUUGCAGGAAUAUCUGAAAGAAAA
Molecule: long non-coding RNA, 1838 nt
Organism: Procambarus clarkii (red swamp crayfish)
Lineage: Eukaryota; Metazoa; Arthropoda; Malacostraca; Decapoda; Cambaridae
Source: RefSeq, a predicted model, not a curated record